AUGUAUCGUACCAUUUGUGUGUGUGUGUGUGUGUGUGUGUGUGUGUGUGUGUGUGUGUGUGUGUGUGUGUGUGUGUGUGUGUGUGUGUGUGUGUGUGUGUGUGUGUGUGUGUGUGUGUGUGUGUGUGUGUAUGUUUGUGUAGGUGCUCCAUGUUCUUGGCAGUGCGGUGUGUGUCCGGCGCACACUGGACCUUUCCCCUCACACUGGUCGCCACGGAGAAGGGGGUUGAUGACGAUCUCGCCGUCACCGCGGCCGGCCCGGGCAUCAGCUCCACCGCGGGCCUCCAUCUGCACAACCCCAUCCGUGAUCUGGUGCUGGUCCAGGGUGCGGACAAGCGCUGGACCUAUGAGGUCCAAGGGACUCUCCCUGAGCCCGGCCAGGUCUCCCCGCCCCGCGCACCCGUAUCAGCCAAUAGGAACCUUACAGCCCAGGAAGCCAUCAGCCCGGCCAAUAAACGCACGCGGAACUACGUCACUCGGAACCUUCGGCUGCCGGCGCUGGCAAACUCCUCCCCUUCUAAAGUGACGUUUCAGAGAUAAAACAAAAACCAGCAAAACAACUGUCUCAAACUCAUUCAUUCCACAACUUUUUUUAACCAAGUCAUUACUGAUGUUCAGGUGUUUGAGCAGAUGUGGGACGAUCCCCACAAUGCAUUGCAGCCAGAACCCCUGAGCAGUGGAACACUUUACACAGUAUCCACGCUCAGGGUUAAGGUUCACCUGCUGUGCAUUAACCAACGCUUGACCCAAACUCCUCCAUUCUAUCUAUAGGGCUUGUCAAUCAAAAUGCAGCAUGGGAUUUUCUUGUUGCCAAUUUCUCCAUAUUUAUAGUCUUGCAUAAAAAACGCUUUGGCAGUGACAAACCUAACAUUGUCUCCUCAGAACGACACCUACAUAGCCACAAAACGGCCAAGCAUCACAUACGCUUGGUACCUCACUCACUGCAUUAGCAGCAGUCAGUUGACCCAGCAAGCGUGAUCACCGACAUACACACACACACACACACACACACACACACUACAUUGAAUGAAUAUUGUAUGUACGAUCAAAGCUGUUUCAGAUUAGUUCAAAACACACUGAAACACGUGUGGAACACACAGUUAAAGCAGAUUGUGUGUAAUUGGUUCAAGGAUAAUCAUACCACGAUACUGAGACCUUAACUGUUGAAAGAGUGCACACGCCUUGAUAAGGACGUUAAAGACUUUGAGAAUAGCGGUCAAAUAUGCCCAAAGUACAGGAAUGUGUCAGAGAAAGAGGCAGUUCCCCCAUGGAAGUGGCCAGAGCAGCCAUGGGAGUGUAUUUAUAUAGACUAUCGAAAAUGGGAAACAUCAGUUUCUUCUGGUCAAAAAUGAUCUUACUCAUACUAACUAACUAAUGAGUAGUACCACAUCUUCAGCGAUAGUAGUCAUUGAGUCUGUUUCCUGCAUAUGGGAUCUCCCAUGUGUGUUUUUUUUUUACUGAUAACGGCACACUCUGAAUCUGUCUUUCAAUCAAAAAAACAUAUGAUGUGUAAAACAUAUGAACUCAGCUCUGUGCAAUCCAUUCUCUAACAGACUGGCAGAAAUGAUCAACCAGUGACUCCGCAUAUGAAAGGGUACGGGUAUUCAUUAAAAUGCUUUGUAGGCAAAGCUGCAGGAUUACACUCUCAACUAGAAACAUGAAAAGCUCUGUCUGGCCUCUAACUGAAAAUAAAUGUCAGGUUUAUAGGUUGUCUCAGGUAAAACCAAAAUCCAAUGCAAAUAUGCCAAAAACAGAUUAACCUCAGCCAAAUCAGAAGGUGUUGGUUUGCAUGGCUGGGUAAGGAUGGAAAAAAGUAAAUCCUGUACAAAGCCUUUUCUGUCUGAUAAGAGAAAUAAUGAUCACAGACGAGUUAUAAUGUGUUAAUCACGUUAUGUCAUAUCAUUCUGAUAAAUUAGUAACAUAACGUUAACUUGUUAAUUCGCAAUUAGAUUAAUCGACCUACCCAAAAUGCUGUUUAUUAUGUUACGUAGGCUAACAUUAUCGAUAGCCUUUAAAACAAUCAUACAAAAAAAAACUUCAAACUUUAAAAGUUCAAACUUUAUAACGUUACCUACACAUAACAGUGUUAGAUGAUAGUUUUGGUGGUAGCAGGUGGAGGGGGGGGGGGGGGGGUCUGACGGUGUAAACCUGCCGUGGAGGCGGUGUCAGACAGCAGCACUCCUCUCUUCGAAGCCAUCGUUUGCUCUAUAUUAAGACACAGUUGAAACAGACCGGUACCGUGAUACUACUGAUUUCUUGUGAGUGAUUUUCUUGAGUGUUGGAAAAACCAUUUGGAUAAUGUAAGUACACAACUCAACAAAAUCUAUAACAUAGGUUGAUCACUUUCAAAUGUGUUUAUGCAGAAUUGUACAUGUUAUGUCUCUUAAUAUUAUACAUAGACAAAUAUUUGUAUCAAGUCACUUUGAAAAAAGCCUCUGCUAAGUGCCCAAAAUGUAAAUGUAUACUGCUGUAUCAAUUGUAAGUGGCUUAUAGCAGUAUGGCUAAGAGUUGAUGUGAGUACUUUCGGAUGCUUAGGACACCAGCAUAUUAUUGGUGCUACUCACGGCCUCUUACGCUGUGUGGGCUGUGUACACAACAACAAUCAUUUCUUUAUAUGACACAAGAAUAACCAUAGGUGUUUUUUUUCAUAUUUUUUCUCAGGGUUUUUUGACUGGUUGUAAAUACGAUUUUAGUCAAUUUAACAACAAUAUCAUACCAUAAAAAAAAUUGCUUGUUGUACUUACUCUCGAAAACCUCAAAAAAAUGUAUUCUUAGCACACAUUAGAAGAUUUUAGAGCCCUAUGAAAUCAGUUUGAGUUCCUUCAAAAUUCCUUUUUUUUUUUUUCUUCAUGAAAUUUCUUCCCAAAUUCCAGACUCAUAAAUCAACGCUCCCCCUGUUUGCUUGUAUGCUUCACAAGAAAUAGUUGUACUUUCUUAGCUUUUCUAAGGAGAUAGCAGACUCUGCACACACAGCCACACAUGUCCUUGUACUAGUAAUGGUCCCUUGAGGAGGCAUGCUCUGGCUAACCCAGUGCUUUUCCUUGUUCAUAUGGGCUUUAGACUUCAAGUGGUCAUCACAUCUAUUUUUACAGGUCCAGUCAAAAGUAUUUUGACAGAAUUUGCAUUUUUUUGUUUAUCCCCGGACGGUCUUUGUAUUCUGGAACCACCUCAUUUACAAAUCACACCUAUUCCAAUAAAAAUCACGAAAACCCCCUUUUCAUGUAUGAUGCCUGAAAUAGGCUGUCUUCAGGCGGAUGCACUUGCAAAUGGGAAACUGUUUGAAUGAAGGCAAAUCGGUCACUGACAGUAAAUAAGUAAAUACGUUAGAAAUUUCAGAAGGGCUCUGCUGGUAAGUAUCAUCUUCAAGUUGGAGAGGCAACGUUUUUCUACUGGUCUGUACUCGUAACCUCCUCAUUGGUUGAGCUCCACAGAAGACAGUAAUGUGAUGUUAUUAAUGUUGUUAGUUAUUGUUAUAUCUCAAAUUAUCUAUUAUUUUUCACUAUAGUCAGAUUAUUGGAUCUUUAUAGGGGGGUGGUAUGUCUAGAGGCUAGUAUCAGCUAUCGUAAUUCACUGAGUAGGCAUUUUGUUUCUACAGAACCAUGGGGUCCAGUCGUCUCAUCUGCAGUUUCAUUGGUAGGUAUUCCACACAGCACUACUUUUAUCAUUAAGUUAGUUUUAUUAAAUUCAUUUAAAUUAACCAGCCGGAUAAUGGAAAUGGAUGUUUGGUGUUGAUUGUGAUUUUGGGUCUCUGUGAUAUCUCUACUGCAAAGGAUGAAGAAUAAUAGUUACAUUUAUAUUGAAUUGAAUAUUACAAAUUAUGUAUGUAUGUGUGUGUGUUAAUUAGGAGUCAGGAGUCCCCUCUAAUCACUGUUGCAGCUUUCCCUCAACUGCAUCAGCCCCCAAUGUCGUUUUUAUUAUUAUAUUAUAAUUCAUUUAGUAUUUUCUCAUGUACCAUGCAAGUAUUUCGAUGUGUUUUUGUAUCGUAGAACGCAACUAAGUAAACUCUGCUCUGUGGUUUCACUCGCUCAAAGCUGCAUCCCUCAUUAAUGUGCCGCUGAGUUCGGGUGCUGGGAGCUGCGUGCCUCUUGGUUCCCCAGAACUGGCCUCCAUCACGAUUCAGGCGAUGGGGAGGAACCUCACACUAGUUGGGAAGCGGCUGUGCUGGUCCGACGCCCUGUUCUACUGCAGAGACCAUCACUGGGACCUGCUGAGCAUCAGGGGCCCAGAGGACCAGGAGAUGGUUGAUGAGCUGGUGGCUGGCGCCCCCUUCCCGCUAACCAGACCACUCUGGGUUGGCCUGCGCAGGUAUUAUCCGGCAACAAGUCUGUACCCAUGAUCAU
Molecule: long non-coding RNA, 4339 nt
Filed under: Gadus morhua (Atlantic cod)
Lineage: Eukaryota; Metazoa; Chordata; Actinopteri; Gadiformes; Gadidae
Description: lncRNA (ENSGMOG00000032261.1)
Source: RNAcentral